UCCAGCUUAUCGCUGGCAGUCUCGCUAGAGUCCCCAACUCAAUGAUGGUAACUAGCAAUAAGGGUUGCGCUCGUUGCGGGACUUAACCCAACAUCUCACGACACGAGCUGACGACAACCAUGCACCACCUGUCUCCCCGGAUACCUCCGCUUUAUCUCUAAAGCAUUGCGGGGGAUGUCAAGACCUGGUAAGGUUCUUCGCGUAUCAUCGAAUUAAACAACAUGAUCCACCGCUUGUGCGGGGUCCCGUCAAUUCCUUUGAGUUUCAUACUUGCGUACGUACUACUCAGGCGGAGCACUUAUUGCGUUAACUACAGCACAGGGUUUCCCCUACACUUAGUGCUCAUCGUUUACGGCGUGGACUAC
Molecule: unclassified non-coding RNA, 365 nt
Filed under: uncultured Acholeplasmataceae bacterium
Lineage: Bacteria; Bacillati; Mycoplasmatota; Mollicutes; Acholeplasmatales; Acholeplasmataceae
Description: contains 16S-23S intergenic spacer region
Source: RNAcentral